UACGUAGGGGGCUAGCGUUGUCCGGAAUCAUUGGGCGUAAAGAGCGUGUAGGCGGCCCGGUAAGUCCGCUGUGAAAGUCGGGGGCUCAACCCUGGGAUGCCGGUGGAUACUGUCGAGCUCGAGUCCGGAAGAGGCGAGUGGAAUUCCUGGUGUAGCGGUGAAAUGCGCAGAUAUCAGGAGGAACACCAAUGGCGAAGGCAGCUCGCUGGGACGUGACUGACGCUGAGACGCGAAAGCGUGGGGAGCAAACAGG
RNAcentral lists this ribosomal RNA (253 nucleotides) under uncultured bacterium. RNAcentral describes it as "partial 16S ribosomal RNA". It matches the Rfam family "Bacterial small subunit ribosomal RNA", at positions 524 to 776 of the family's 1533-position model. The record is from RNAcentral.